RNAcentral lists this microRNA (22 nucleotides) under Melibe leonina. RNAcentral describes it as "mle-miR-1986-5p". Lineage: Eukaryota; Metazoa; Mollusca; Gastropoda; Nudibranchia; Dendronotidae. The record is from miRBase by way of RNAcentral.
CGCGGGCGUUGGGGACACCACG